GGAUGUGAGGGUGAACUGGCUGUGACAUCUGUUACCCCAUUGAUUGCCAGGGUUGAUUUGGCUGAUCUAGCUGACUAGGUGGGUGUCCCAUUCCUCUCUCAAUGCUUCCUAUGUGUCCAUCCUGAAGCUGUGUGAUUGGUCAAAGAAGACCACCCCAGAGAGAGGAGGACCAUUCCUCGGUCAAAGAUAUACCAGUAGCUGUGCUCCCCUGCUAGAAUCUCCAAACAAACUCUUAAGGGUUUAAGGAACAUGUUAACUAUGCCUUUAAUUUGAAGGACGUUUGACUAUAAAAUCCUAGGCUUACACAUUUUUUAG
Molecule: small nuclear RNA, 315 nt
Filed under: Octodon degus (degu)
Lineage: Eukaryota; Metazoa; Chordata; Mammalia; Rodentia; Octodontidae
Description: 7SK RNA (ENSODEG00000023953.1)
Rfam family: 7SK RNA
About the family: 7SK was discovered as an abundant small nuclear RNA in the mid-70s but a possible function has only recently been suggested. Two independent studies have found that 7SK RNA binds the CDK9/cyclin T complex (known as elongation factor P-TEFb).
Source: Rfam by way of RNAcentral